RNAcentral lists this ribosomal RNA (253 nucleotides) under uncultured bacterium. RNAcentral's name for it is "partial 16S ribosomal RNA". It matches the Rfam family "Bacterial small subunit ribosomal RNA", at positions 524 to 776 of the family's 1533-position model. The record is from RNAcentral.
UACGUAGGUGACAAGCGUUGUCCGGAUUUACUGGGCGUAAAGAGCGCGCAGGCGGUCGUUCAAGUCGAGUGUGAAAGCCCCCGGCUCAACUGGGGAGGGUCAUUCGAUACUGAUCGACUCGAAGGCAGGAGAGGGUAGUGGAAUUCCCGGUGUAGUGGUGAAAUGCGUAGAUAUCGGGAGGAACACCAGUGGCGAAGGCGGCCAGCUGGCGCUGACCUGACGCUGAGGCGCGAAGGCGUGGGGAGCGAACGGG